Biomphalaria glabrata is the source of this 72-nucleotide non-coding RNA. The record is from Rfam. NCBI's taxonomy places the organism in Eukaryota, Metazoa, Mollusca, Gastropoda, Planorbidae.
GACGUGGUGGCUGGGCGGUAAAGCGCUUGGCUUCUGAACCAGGGGUCCCGGGUUCGAAUCCUGGUGAAGACU